GUGUUGUAUGAAAGGAGACAAGGUUAGCACUCCCCAGACAAGGAAGGAAGAAGACCUCGGGCCUGACAACACACAUACUGUUAAGGCAUGGCCACCUACUUUGUGGCAUCUAACUAUUAUUUGUU
Zalophus californianus (California sea lion) is the source of this 125-nucleotide small nuclear RNA. The record is from Ensembl. Lineage: Eukaryota; Metazoa; Chordata; Mammalia; Carnivora; Otariidae.